UACGAAGGGGGCUAGCGUUGCUCGGAAUCACUGGGCGUAAAGCGCACGUAGGCGGAUUGCUAAGUCAGGGGUGAAAUCCUGGAGCUCAACUCCAGAACUGCCUUUGAUACUGGCGACCUUGAGUCCGGGAGAGGUGAGUGGAAUUCCGAGUGUAGAGGUGAAAUUCGUAGAUAUUCGGAGGAACACCAGAAGCGAAGGCGGCCAACUGGCCCGAUACUGACGCUGAGGCGCGAAAGCGUGGGGAGCAAACAGG
RNAcentral lists this ribosomal RNA (253 nucleotides) under uncultured bacterium. Its description in RNAcentral is "partial 16S ribosomal RNA". It matches the Rfam family "Bacterial small subunit ribosomal RNA", at positions 524 to 776 of the family's 1533-position model. The record is from RNAcentral.